RNAcentral lists this ribosomal RNA (551 nucleotides) under uncultured bacterium. RNAcentral describes it as "bacterial SSU rRNA". It matches the Rfam family "Bacterial small subunit ribosomal RNA", at positions 355 to 896 of the family's 1533-position model. The record is from RNAcentral.
UAGGGAAUCUUCGGCAAUGGGGGGAACCCUGACCGAGCAACGCCGCGUGAGUGAAGAAGGUUUUCGGAUCGUAAAGCUCUGUUGUUAAGGAAGAACGUGUGUGAGAGUGGAAAGUUCACACAGUGACGGUACUUAACCAGAAAGGGACGGCUAACUACGUGCCAGCAGCCGCGGUAAUACGUAGGGUGCGAGCGUUGUCCGGAAUUACUGGGCGUAAAGAGCUCGUAGGUGGUUUGUCGCGUCGUCUGUGAAAUUCCGGGGCUUAACUCCGGGCGUGCAGGCGAUACGGGCUGACUUGAGUGCUGUAGGGGAGACUGGAAUUCCUGGUGUAGCGGUGAAAUGCGUAGAUAUAUGGAGGAACACCGGUGGCGAAAGCGGCUCUCUGGCUUGUAACUGACGCUGAGGCUCGAAAGCGUGGGGAGCAAACAGGAUUAGAUACCCUGGUAGUCCACGCCGUAAACGAUGAGUGCUAGGUGUUAGACCCUUUCCGGGGUUUAGUGCCGCAGCUAACGCAUUAAGCACUCCGCCUGGGGAGUACGACCGCAAGGUUG